UACGGGGGGAGCAAGCGUUGUUCGGAUUUACUGGGCGUAAAGGGCGCGUAGGCGGAAGCUUAAGCGGUGCCUGAAAGCCCCCGGCUCAACCGGGGAGGGUGGUGCCGAACUGGGCUUCUUGAGGGCGAUAGAGGAGAGUGGAAUUCCGGGUGUAGCGGUGAAAUGCGUAGAGAUCCGGAGGAACACCAGUGGCGCAGGCGGCUCUCUGGGUCGGCCCUGACGCUGAGGCGCGAAAGCGUGGGGAGCGAACGGG
Molecule: ribosomal RNA, 253 nt
Filed under: uncultured bacterium
Lineage: Bacteria
Description: partial 16S ribosomal RNA
Rfam family: Bacterial small subunit ribosomal RNA
Source: RNAcentral